Long non-coding RNA from Sapajus apella (tufted capuchin), 100 nucleotides. RefSeq lists it as uncharacterized. NCBI's taxonomy places the organism in Eukaryota, Metazoa, Chordata, Mammalia, Primates, Cebidae. The record is from RefSeq and is a predicted model, not a curated record. The transcript is spliced from 3 exons.
GGAAACGAAAUCAAAACCACAAUGAGAUACCACUUCAUACCAACUAAAAUGGCUAUAAUCAGAAAGACAUAUAAUAAAAAGGAUUACAAGUGUGUAAAGA